This 278-nucleotide unclassified non-coding RNA is filed under the name Itea ilicifolia. Its description in RNAcentral is "partial external transcribed spacer". Lineage: Eukaryota; Viridiplantae; Streptophyta; Magnoliopsida; Saxifragales; Iteaceae. The record is from RNAcentral.
CUAUGCACAUUAUUCCACCUAUCGCUCUCUUUUGGGAUGCGUGGUGGACGUGAAAGUGGCUCUCGUGUUCCAGCACACCCAGUGCNNUGCGGUGUGGCAUGGCCCAUGGGAAACUGCUCGUAAUCUCGGAUGCGGAACAUUCAGCGGGUGCAGGGCAUGAUCCCUGAUUUACCCAAGCAAGGCUUUCGUUGCCUAGCAAGUACGACUGUCGUGGUUGUCUUGUCCCCUCCCAAUCUGGUAGGGGUCAUACGACCCCGGCGUCGCAAAGGAAUGCUACC